CCACAUUCCACUAGCAAUCAAAGUGUGUCUCUCUUAGAAUGUUAAUUGAAUCUUGACGUAUAUGCAGUGGUUGUUCAGCUGUCAGGUGAUUUUGUUAUUAGCAUCUUUUAAAACAAAACCUGUGAGUUCUUGGAAGAAGACAUGCAGAGAUUGCACCGUGUCAUAAUAAUGGUGUGUAGUAAGAAUUUAAUUGUUACCCGUGUCUUCUCUGGCUACACGUCCAGCCCAAUGGUUGGUGUGCCGGGAUGACUAAUGCUCUGCGUUUUAAGAAGGAAACUGUGUAUAGCUCUGUAUUAGUCAGAUUGUAUUGUAUUAAAAGCUUGCAUCAUUCCCGCUGAGUGCUUGAUGGUUUGCUGAUAAGAGGCAGACGCUAGCUGAAAGUUCUAAGAAUUGAUCCUAGUGAAGCAUGUUUUGGUGAUGUACCCGACGUAUGCAUUUAAUGACUGGCACAACUCAUUAACAGCACAAAGAGCUCCCUGUAUUUUUAUUGGAGAUAUUCACUGUAUAAUGGCAUUCUGGGGCUUUAAAUUAGAAAUUCACUCCUCAGACUUGAUUACCAUUUUUGUAGAUCUGUUUAAGCUAGUUUGGAAAUAUAUUUGUGUGUGAUUGUUAGACAUAUUUUGUAUGUUUAGAUUUUUUAUUUUAUUUUUUAUUAAAUUUUUUGAAUAGGUUACUCCAGACACCAUAAC
Pelobates cultripes (western spadefoot toad) is the source of this 689-nucleotide non-coding RNA. Lineage: Eukaryota; Metazoa; Chordata; Amphibia; Anura; Pelobatidae. The record is from the annotation of a GenBank genome assembly.